This 406-nucleotide ribosomal RNA is filed under the name uncultured bacterium. RNAcentral's name for it is "partial 16S ribosomal RNA". It matches the Rfam family "Bacterial small subunit ribosomal RNA", at positions 30 to 526 of the family's 1533-position model. The record is from RNAcentral.
AUCGAACGCUGGCGGCAGGCCUAACACAUGCAAGUCGAGCGAGCGGCGGACGGGCGAGUAAUGUCUGGGAAACUGCCUGAUGGAGGGGGAUAACUACUGGAAACGGUAGCUAAUCCCGCAUACCAUCAGAUGUGCCCCGAUGGGAUUAGCUAGUAGGUGGGGUAAUGGCUCACCUAGGCGACGAUCCCUAGCGGGUCUGCGAGGAUGACCAGCCACACUGGAACUGAGACACGGUCCAGACUCCUACGGGAGGCAGCAGUGGGGAAUAUUGCGCAAUGGGCGCAAGCCUGAUGGAGCCAUGCCGCGUGUGUGAAGAAGGCCUUCGGGUUGUAAAGCACUUUCAGCGAGGAAGCGUUACUCGCAGAGGAAGCACCGGCUAACUCCGUGCCAGCAGCCGCGGUAAUUC